Long non-coding RNA from Prunus persica (peach), 647 nucleotides. RefSeq lists it as uncharacterized. NCBI's taxonomy places the organism in Eukaryota, Viridiplantae, Streptophyta, Magnoliopsida, Rosales, Rosaceae. The record is from RefSeq and is a predicted model, not a curated record. The transcript has 2 exons.
GUUGACAAAGUAAUUUUAAUCUUGCUAGAGCUGUGGCUGAUGAAGAAACAGAGGCGAAUUUUUAUAAAGGAGAAGGCCCAUUUGCUGACCAGAAGGUUCUUCCUGAUCUGGACAAAGACGGAGUUCUUGGACUUGGGCUAAGAGUUGCCAAGCAGAUACCUUAAAGUUCUGCAAUUGGAGAAACUGGCGUGCAGCCUGUUGGUUAUACUCUUGUUUCAUGAAAAACUAUAAUACUCUGGUUUUGAUGGAUUAUUAACGUAAUGGUAGCAAGCAAUGAUAAAUAAAGAGCACUUACGCAGCUGGUAAGGUAGCUGAGAUUAUGUGUGCAGAUUUUGCCCAUGAAGUAAUUUCAGUAUGUGUACCUCCAGUUUAUCCCCCACAAUCCUAAUGAGACGUGAUUUAGUUUCCUGUUUUAUUUGUAUUUAUUUCAUUGAUUCGCUGUGUAUAUUUAUUGUCUCUCAAGGACUUGAUUCUUGCUUAGAAUAGGAAAUCCUUUGUGUAGACACCAAGCAAAGCAUUGUAUAUAAUUAUCACACGAUUGUUCAAUGAAAAUCAUUAAGAAUAUUCAAAACCUUUCAGAUCCAUGGUCAUGGAUGGGCUUGCAUUCGCAUAGUAAACACAUGAACAAUUUCUGAAUUUAUUCAUAC